GUUCAUUUAUCUAUUAUGCCCUUCGUUACCGUCCUCCGUUCCCGUGUGGCUUCGGUUUCUCCUCUGUGCAUCGAAGUUCGAAGAACGAACGAGACAAGCAAUUAGUUACUCAGAGUCACCGAAAGCCUUCUUCUUUCUAUUAUCAGAUUCAGAUCGGAGAAUUGUUGAAUUCUAGCUUCUCUUUCAUGCGCGGAUAGUUUCCAAAAUACCUUUUCUAAGUAUUUAACAUGGAGCGGAUCAUCGGCGGCAAGUACAAGCUCGGCCGCAAGAUCGGGAGCGGAUCCUUCGGUGAAAUUUACCUCGCUACUCAUGUCGAUACUUUUGAGAUAGUCGCGGUUAAAAUUGAGAACACUAAAACUAAGCAUCCACAACUGCUCUAUGAGGCAAAACUGUAUCAUGUUCUUCAAGGAGGAAAUGGAAUUCCUAGCAUAAGGUGGUCUGGUAUAGACCGGGAGGACAAUGUGCUAGUUCUUGAUUUGCUGGGACCCAGUCUUGAAGAUCUCUUUGUGUAUUGUGGAAGAAAGUUUUCGUUGAAGACUGUAUUAAUGUUGGCUGAUCAGAUGAUCGCUAGAAUAGAAUAUGUUCAUUCUAAGGGUUUUCUACAUAGAGAUAUAAAACCUGAUAACUUUCUCAUGGGACUUGGGCGGAAGGCCAAUCAGGUUUACGUAAUUGACUUUGGGCUUGCAAAACGAUAUCGGGAUCCCACAACCAAAAGUCAUAUUCCUUACCGGGAGAACAAAAACUUAACAGGUACUGCACGUUAUGCAAGUUGUAAUACUCACCUUGGCAUUGAGCAAGGCCGCCGGGAUGACUUGGAGUCACUAGGAUAUGUGCUUCUGUACUUCCUUAGAGGAAGUCUUCCUUGGCAAGGUCUAAAGGCUGCAACAAAGAAGCAAAAGUAUGAUAAAAUAUGCGAAAAGAAAGUAUCAACUCCUAUUGAGGUCCUAAGCAAAUCUCAUCCUGUAGAGUUUGCUUCAUACUUUCAUUAUUGCCACUCUUUGACAUUUGACCAGCGACCUGAUUAUGGGUUUUUGAAGCGUCUUUUCCGGGACCUAUUUGCUCGACAAGGUUUUGAAUUUGAUUAUGUGUUUGAUUGGACCAUUUUAAAGUACCAACAGACACAGAAGGUUAAAGUUCAGCCUCACACAUCUCCAGCUCCUGGAGCACGCAGAAGUCAGGCAAUGCCAACGGUUGUUGACAAUUCCCAUGGUGUUUAUGCUUAUUCAGGGGAUGUAUCGGAGCACAUUAGAUCUGGCAAUGCUACUGGUUCUGGUGUUAAGAUGCAGUUUAAAUCAACAGCAGGAAAAAAUGUGGGUGUUGGUAAUCCUGUUGAAAAGAAUAUUUUUGAAGAAGCAAAUAUGCCUUCUACUUCAUAUUCACAUGCUGGUACCUCAAAAAGGAAAUUCCUGAAGCCCGCCUUGACCACUGAAGCUGCAAACCCUGUUCGUGGCCAAGGCAGUAAGAUUGGUCCUUCAAGUAGCUGGAUUUCAUCUCUGCAACGCAUAUCUUCUGCCAAAUGAAUGAUCUAUAUGCUUUGAAUCAGGUCAUGAAGACUCAGCAUAUAUUUGAAGCUGCAAAUGUGUGGAUUCGGCGUAUAUUCCUCAAAUGGCUGGUAAAAAAAAUAUUUUGGUGAUCAAUUGAUGGAGACUGUAACUGUGCGGCAAAGAUGAUAAAUUGCAUCAAUUCUCCUUUAAGACCACACGCUACUUUCGGACUGCAAAUAAUUGGUCAUUAUAAGAAAUAUAGACUGCUCUGGCUUGGCUUCUGUGCUGUACAUAUAUUUGAAACGUGGACCACCAUGAUCCUGUUGCUGUGUAUUCAUCUCUUUAUGUAACAUUAAUUGACCAGGUUCUCAAGAAUAUAAACAAUACCAAUUCUGAGGCAAAAGUUUUGGUUGAAAGAUCUCUGAAAUAAUGGUUUUCUGAGAAAUAUCAAAGGUGCACAUACUCUGACACUUGGCCUGUUUAAUUUGUAUCUUCACUCUCGAGACCAAUGAAUAGAGGCUGGGUUUAUUUCAGCCAAGUUCAAGGACUCUUUUACAGACAAUAUUAUCUGCUGGAUCAUUUAUGACAGAAAAUUGCCAUUUAUAUGCAUGCUGCUAUCAGCAGGACCCUGCUUCUACCUUUAGUAAAUACCUUGAGGAAAUAAAUGAUUCCAUCGUUUCUACUUCACAUCAUCUUUAAGGCAUGUUCUGGCUGAUUUUCAAUAGUUCGAUGUGGAUUCAAUAGGUUUGAAAGUGGCCAUGAUUACACCGGGAACAACCUAGCUUACCUUGUGAUGGUGCUUUAAUAUAAAAAUGUAUGCUGGAUUAUAUGUUAAAACCAUAUGGAUUUGGACGGCAGCUUUCUGCUGAAGUUUUAUGGACAAAAGGGGAGAUUUAUUUAUUUUUUUCAUUUUUGGUGUUUUGGGGCCAGAGCGGUGACGUCAGAUGCCUCAGAAAUUCUGCAAACCUCUGUUCUAAUAUUGGAUAUUUCUGUGACACCUUUAAUUGAGGGAUCAAAAUAGUUAUCGUCUGUUUGUCACUUCCGAUAUCAAGGUUCUACAAAUCCGUGUCCCUUUUGUGCAUUUUGAAGCCGUCAACUGGAAGUUUUGAACCCUUGGAAUCUGAGAAUGGAUUUUCUGUGCCAGAUUGGAUUGUCGUUUAACUGCUUUAUGAGGUCUGGGGCUUUGUAAUGAGCAUAACAGCUGUUUUUGGCAUGAACGCUGGUUGCCACAGUGCUUCUAAAGGGUUCCCAAACUCCCCCUCAGUGCUGAUCUGGGCAACUCUCAGGGGGCAAGCAAUGAGCAAGAUUCAGUUUUUAUGGUGAUCAUUACUCUUAGAUUAGCUGGUGCUUGGGGAUCCGUUGAUGCAUACGAAGUAAAGUAAACUCGGAAGACAACCCAGCCUAUCCCAUACUAGCUUAUCAUGUUGAAGAAGUGGUUGAUGACUUGAUGGAAAGGCGUACGGCUUAUUCGGAGGGUUUUUUGGCUAUUCAAGUCCAAGUCAGUACAAUUUCAGACGCAGCAUAUUUCCUUGCUCGU
Neltuma alba is the source of this 3021-nucleotide RNA transcript. It is a transcript of the gene named casein kinase 1-like protein 3, with no coding region annotated. The record is from RefSeq and is a predicted model, not a curated record. NCBI's taxonomy places the organism in Eukaryota, Viridiplantae, Streptophyta, Magnoliopsida, Fabales, Fabaceae. The transcript has 20 exons.